Molecule: ribosomal RNA, 284 nt
Filed under: Escherichia coli
Lineage: Bacteria; Pseudomonadati; Pseudomonadota; Gammaproteobacteria; Enterobacterales; Enterobacteriaceae
Description: partial 23S ribosomal RNA
Rfam family: Bacterial large subunit ribosomal RNA
Source: RNAcentral
GGACGGAGAAGGCUAUGUUGGCCGGGCGACGGUUGUCCCGGUUUAAGCGUGUAGGCUGGUUUUCCAGGCAAAUCCGGAAAAUCAAGGCUGAGGCGUGAUGACGAGGCACUACGGUGCUGAAGCAACAAAUGCCCUGCUUCCAGGAAAAGCCUCUAAGCAUCAGGUAACAUCAAAUCGUACCCCAAACCGACACAGGUGGUCAGGUAGAGAAUACCAAGGCGCUUGAGAGAACUCGGGUGAAGGAACUAGGCAAAAUGGUGCCGUAACUUCGGGAGAAGGCACGC